Molecule: long non-coding RNA, 992 nt
Filed under: Homo sapiens (human)
Lineage: Eukaryota; Metazoa; Chordata; Mammalia; Primates; Hominidae
Description: HSALNT0373869
Source: RNAcentral
CAACUGUACUCCAGGCUGGGCGACAGAGUGAGACCCUGGGAAGAAAGGAAGAAAGAAAAUGAUAUCCAUUUUUUUUCAGUUUGGAAAUUGUGUAGCUUCACAUAUUCUUUUAAUUCUUUGAUAGCACCUUAAUUAGUUAAUAUGCUCUAUUAGGCACAGAAGACCCAGUGCAAAUGAUAAUCUCUUCCAUGCAAGAUUAUGAUGCAGAGAGUGAAAUAAAACAAUGUACAUGGAGAGUUAUAGUGGAAUGUAUCUGUUCAGGAUAAGAGUUCUGCUGCUGAUCAUAGGCACCACACAGUACCUAUGUUUCCUUGGACAAGCAUGUUUCUUCACAUAUUAAAUGGCAAUCUAAUAAUUGUGUCAUAAAUCUACUUUGAAGGUAAAUACAUAUAAUGUGUCAAAUGCCCUGCCUAGCAGAGAGUAAAUGUUCAGAGUCAGUUUAAUAAUAGAGAUAAAGGAAAUAAUGAUGAUGGAAAUGGUAUUAACAACAGUAGUGUAAACAUGUCAUUGUAAGGAGUAUUGAGCAGAAGCACAUGUGAAAGUUGGAGCCUGGCUCUAAUGAAAGUCAGUCGGAACUCAAGUGCAGAAAAUGACACAGGUAUAAUCUAACUGGCAUUAUUCUGAUAGCAAAUUGCACUGUUAAAAAUGUGUAUAAAUCUAAUGCGCUUACUGAUAAGGUGAGGACUGUGACAUGACAUAACUAAUGAUUGGAUACAUAAAAUACAUCUAAACUUUUGUGUGAAUUUUCUGAAAUUAGUUCCAGGCCAGGGUAAUAACACUAUUAAUUAUAUGAAAUUAAUAACUUUAUUAAAAAUAAAUGACAGUGGUGGCAUAGGAGGCUUAAUUAGCCUAAAGAAGUGAAGGUUACAUAAUAAUCUCACUUUUUUGUAGCUAUUAAUUACAUUUACAUUUUGUCUUCGGUUCCACUGUUCUUAUCAAAGCCACUCAAAAAUAAGACUUGACAUGCUAAUUUCCAGUAACUAUUCCACUCC